GGGAAUGUGACAAGCUUCAAGCAAUCAUAGAUGGAGAUCAAAUGGUAACCAAUGCUUCUGGAGGACUAGAAGUUGGUUUUAAAUCACUUGAAUAUCUGUAUAUAUAUUGUGCGAGGAGCUUAAGGAGUAUAUGGGAGGGGCAACUGGAUAACAGUGGCUUUAAAGUACUAAAAUACUUGGUGCUAUACAUGUGUCCACAGCUGACCACCAUUUUCACACCAGGAUCGCUUGCAAAUCUUUCCAGCCUUGAAGAGCUCACAGUUGAUGAUUGCUCCCGAGUCACUAGUUUAGUGAGCGGCAGUGAUUGUGAGAACGAGAUCAAGCUUGUUCUCCCUGCCUUGAAGAAGAUAUCUCUUCGUUUCUUAGCUGAAUUGGAUAACAUCUCUGAUGUGGUAUGCAUUUCGCCAAGAUUGGAAUGGAUGAACUUUUACCAUUGCCCAAAUCUCAAAAGUCUCCCAAUUGGCAAAGUUUUCCAGUCCAAAUGGAGGCAGAUCAAGGGUGAGGAGAGCUGGUGGCAAGCAUCGGAGUGGCAAUACACAGAGCAAGAUUCUUGGAAAGGCAUUUUUACUUCAUAUGGAGAGAUUGUAGAAUUUAGCCCAUCAUCUAAGAGAUCAGAUGCAUUAUCAGAAGCAACGGCCUCAUCUCUCUUUGAAGGU
Molecule: unclassified non-coding RNA, 656 nt
Filed under: Hevea brasiliensis (rubber tree)
Lineage: Eukaryota; Viridiplantae; Streptophyta; Magnoliopsida; Malpighiales; Euphorbiaceae
Source: RNAcentral